AAGCCGGAAGUGAAAAAAUAGCGUUUCAUUAAUUAUAUUAUAGCGUUCCAUCCAAAUUUCAAUUUAGGGCAGGAAUCUCUCUCCACUUCACCGCCUUAAAAACAUAUGCGAACUCAAAAUUUUCUCCAAAUCAAUGGCGCACAGAUCUCCCUCUCUUUUCUUGCGAAUUGGUUUCGGCUUCUGCUGGAUAGAUCAAGCGUUCAGUCGCGAGUUCAAUCGUGAGUUCUCCUUUCAUGAGCAAGGGUUUCAAUAAAGAAGCAAAUCGCCAUGACCUAUUGCACCAGUUGAAACAAAAAGCCGUCGAACGGAGAAGCCCUAACCAGAUGGACGAUGAUGAUGAAAGGAUAACCAAUGUUAGAGGAAGAUUGUGAGGUUGCAUUAGUUUGAUUUAUGUGCCUACCAUGGUGUACUAUGGUUCAUACCAAGAUGGGAGAGAGAUCGAACAAGUUUUUAAGGAAAUAGCUGAAGUUUGGCGAGCCUCCAAGUCAAGAUUAGCCUCGAAAAUAUGACACGCUACAGUUGAAGGCUACGACUCCAGCUAGAUAAUAUCAAAUCACUCCACGAUUGGAAUGAUUUUGUGAAGGAAAAGACUUGUAAAAAGUGUAAGGUAUGUGCAACCUGAUUUAUCUUUAAUAUUAUUAUCAACCAAAAAGGAAUUUGUUAUUGAAGAAUGGAUAUGGUUGCAAGACUAUUGUUUUACAAAAAUGAGAAAGAAACAAAUCGGCAUACUCUGAGCCAUGAGGAAUAUGCACUGCAAACAAGUGAGAGGCAAUAUCUACAUUGUUAUAGUUUGUUAUCACGGUUUCUUAUACUACAUAUUAGCAAGUAAAACUAAGUGUAUUUGUAACCUUGUAUCUGUUAUUGUAGAAAGCAAAAAUAGGAAGCCCUCUUCCAUAACUAUACAUUUUGUUUACUGUUUUAGAAUCAUGCAACUGCUCUGCUUCGCCAACUUGGCUGCCAGCCUGCCAAGCUUGUGCAGCUAACAGCUAGCAGGUUCAGUCAGCAAGUAGAUUGUGUCGGUUGGAACUGCUUUGGUGAAGUUGGGUACAGAUUAUGCAGGUACAGGUGUGCGGGUGGGCAUGUCACAUGUUGUGAGCAUCUCCAAAGAAUCUAUUCCAGCACUUCCAGCUGGAAGACUUGGUGUGUCGCUGUUUGGU
Molecule: long non-coding RNA, 1157 nt
Organism: Rhododendron vialii
Lineage: Eukaryota; Viridiplantae; Streptophyta; Magnoliopsida; Ericales; Ericaceae
Exons: 5
Source: RefSeq, a predicted model, not a curated record